Long non-coding RNA from Homo sapiens (human), 1869 nucleotides. The record is from Ensembl. NCBI's taxonomy places the organism in Eukaryota, Metazoa, Chordata, Mammalia, Primates, Hominidae.
GGGAAUGUGACUUGUGGGGGACCGAAGGCUUCGUGGGUUUGUGGGGUUGUCUGCCAACUUGGUGCUAAUUGGGAAUAAUCUGAGAAGCAAGUCGCCUACUCACCUCCCACCCUAUGUCCCUCCUCCCGCAGCCUUUUUCCCCAGCCUAGUGCCUCCACAGGGCCACUUUCAAAGCUUGCAAUUUAUUUGGAAAGGGUCCCCCGCAGAGGCGCAUGGCAGCAGGAGCCGGGGGCGUGUGCCUUGCCCUGCGAGUGCGGCUGGAGCUGCGCCCCCAGAGGCGCUGCAUCUCCGCGCCUGCAGCGCGAGAAAAGGCAGCAGGCAGCUUGGUACCUCCAGGGCUGCGGAGUCUCUAAGGAGGCUGCAAGAGCCCAGAGUCGCCGCUGAUUGGCUCCUCCCGCGGCCUUGGGACCACCCUUCUCACCACCGUUGCCUCCCGCCUACACCACCCACCUCCUUAAUCAAAGCCAAUGAUUGCAUCCUUCCCGCUCUAUUGUGGCUAGUGGAAAGCAGGGGCCCCUGCGGGAUUGCCCAGGCAGUGCAACAGUCCCUGUCUGGAACUAGUUAAAUCCUUCCUCCAGAUUCAGACGCCAGCAUUCCUUUCAGAAAAACAAAAGUGUAUGUUCCCUCCCCUCCUUCAGAUCCGUACCCCAGCUUUUCUUUCAUGAACAAUGAGUUCUCUUAUACUCCUCCUUCCCAUAUUAAACUCUUCCCCUUUCCCACCUUCCACACGCAUAUCCCUCAAUCUCAAUAGCUCCAGGGAUCCCUACCUUUCUGCACUGCUGUUCUAAUGCAAAUAAAUAUAUUUUUUAAAAAAAUUUAAAAAUAAAAACAAAGAUAUAAAUAUGAAGCUCCCAGCUGAAGUACUGCCAAGUCUUUUGGUUUUGUUGCUGCUGCCACUGCUAGAACCCUACUGGGGAUAACCCUACGAGACAAGGGUUUUCUGACCAUAUCCUAGCACUACUGAGCUUCCCUAUUCUCCACUUUAUCUGUCCUUAUCUUGUACCUCCCUCUUCCUAUAACCCAUUGCCUUCCUUUAAAUGUCCCUAAGACUGUCAUCUUCCUAGCUUCUUGUGAAUGCAUGUGCCCUGACUCAGCAUUAGGAGAUUGCCUUACUACAAGGGAUUCACAGAUUGGAUGAGAUCCCAGGUUCCUAAAUUCCGGGUUUUAUUGGGGGGCAUAUUAGGAAAUCUUCCACAUCUCUGAUAGAUGUGUUUACAGCAGGACUGGACCUCCAAGGGACUGGAAGAAAAUUGUGAGCUGGGAACUCAGCAUUCUCCUCCUCCUCCUCCUUCUUCCUCUUCCUCUUCUUCCUCUUGUUCUUCUUUGAGACAGAGUGUAGUAGUGUAAUCAUAGCUCACCGCAACCUUGAAGUAUUGGGCUCAAACAAUCCUCCCACCUUAGCCUCUGGAGUAACUGGGAGGACAACAGGCACAAGCCAUCACUCCUGGCUAACUGGAACUCAGCAUUCUUGAUGGAAGUCCUCCCUUGGUGCUGCUGGAAAAGUCAACUCGAUGGGUGGCAGAGUUCUGCCUCUUGAAGUUGACAGCACUGCAAGGAGUGGAAUCUGGAUUCCUCAAGACUGCAAAAAGGCCUAGGUGAGUAACACAAACCUAGGGGUGCAUUAGCUCAAUGGACCAAGAGGAGCUUGCCCAGUGGGAGAUGCAAGCUAGGAUGGAGCUCGUCGGUAAAUCCCCUCUACCUUUAUUAUUUUCAUGGCCAAGCAACCACAUGGUCUAAUGAAAAGGCUGUGUCUCUUUGUGACUCAUGAAGCAGUAACUAGUUUGGUAACUCUUCUCCUUGGAUCUGCACCCUGUCCUUCCCUGUCUCACUCUCCUUUUCUCUUCCUCUCAUGGUUCUGGCUUCACACCU